This 806-nucleotide ribosomal RNA is filed under the name Mucor endophyticus. RNAcentral's name for it is "SSU rRNA". It matches the Rfam family "Eukaryotic small subunit ribosomal RNA", at positions 598 to 1410 of the family's 1831-position model. The record is from RNAcentral. Lineage: Eukaryota; Fungi; Mucoromycota; Mucoromycetes; Mucorales; Mucoraceae. RNAcentral also lists the same sequence under 1 other name.
AAAAUUUAAAAGUUGUUGCAGUUAAACGUCCGUAGUCAAAUUUUAGUCUUUAGGCGAGGUGGCCUGGUCUUCAUUGAUCAAGCUCGUCUCUGCCGAGACUUUUUUUUUGGUUAUGCUACUGUUGGCUUCGGUCGGCGGUAGUCUCUAGCCAAAUGAUUACCAUGAGCAAAUCAGAGUGUUUAAAGCAGGCUUUCAAGCUUGAAUGUGUUAGCAUGGAAUAAUGAAAUAUGACUUUAGUUCUUAUUUCGUUGGUUCAGGAACUUAAGUAAUGAUGAAUAGAAACGGUUGGGGGCAUUUGUAUUUGGUCGCUAGAGGUGAAAUUCUUGGAUUGACCGAAGACAAACUACUGCGAAAGCAUUUGACCCAGGACGUUUUCAUUGAUCAAGGUCUAAAGUUAAGGGAUCGAAGACGAUUAGAUACCGUCGUAGUCUUAACCACAAACUAUGCCGACUAGCGAUUGGGCCUGUUUAUUAUGACUGGCUCAGCAGCUUAGCGAAAGUAAAGUUUUUGGGUUCUGGGGGGAGUAUGGGACGCAAGGCUGAAACUUAAAGGAAUUGACGGAAGGGCACCACCAGGAGUGGAGCCUGCGGCUUAAUUUGACUCAACACGGGGAAACUCACCAGGUCCAGACAUAGUAAGGAUUGACAGAUUGAAAGCUCUUUCUAGAUUCUAUGGGUGGUGGUGCAUGGCCGUUCUUAGUUCGUGGAGUGAUUUGUCUGGUUAAUUCCGAUAACGAACGAGACCUUAUUCUGCUAAAUAGGCAGGUCAACUUUUUAGUUGAUUAAUUUAUUUAUAAAUCUGGCUUC